AAGAGACAGCAGCCGCCGCGGGAAUACAGAGGGUGCGAGCGUUAAUCGGAUUUACUGGGCGUAAAGCGUGCGUAGGCGGCUUCUUAAGUCGGAUGUGAAAUCCCUGAGCUUAACUUAGGAAUUGCAUUCGAUACUGGGAAGCUAGAGUAUGGGAGAGGAUGGUAGAAUUCCAGGUGUAGCGGUGAAAUGCGUAGAGAUCUGGAGGAAUACCGAUGGCGAAGGCAGCCAUCUGGCCUAAUACUGACGCUGAGGUACGAAAGCAUGGGGAGCAAACAGGAUUAGAUACCCCCGUAGUCCCUGUCUCUUAUAC
Molecule: ribosomal RNA, 310 nt
Filed under: uncultured bacterium
Lineage: Bacteria
Description: partial 16S ribosomal RNA
Rfam family: Bacterial small subunit ribosomal RNA
Source: RNAcentral